This 29-nucleotide non-coding RNA is filed under the name Homo sapiens (human). The record is from RNAcentral. Lineage: Eukaryota; Metazoa; Chordata; Mammalia; Primates; Hominidae.
UAGUGUUAAGCCACUGGUGGACGGAGUGU